Long non-coding RNA from Bactrocera dorsalis (oriental fruit fly), 1161 nucleotides. RefSeq lists it as uncharacterized. The record is from RefSeq and is a predicted model, not a curated record. The transcript is spliced from 3 exons. NCBI's taxonomy places the organism in Eukaryota, Metazoa, Arthropoda, Insecta, Diptera, Tephritidae.
AUAGGCUAUAUAACAUCACGCUGCGAACAAUAGGAGCGAAGAAACAGUGGUAAAUGUGUAAAAAACGAGGGAAAUUAUUUAUCUUUGAGGGCUUCCGUUCCUUGCGCUGCGAAAGCGGUUCAAGAUACACAAAAGUUAUGUAUGAAAGAAUUAUUUCUCUUUUAAUGAUCUAAAAAAAGUCCAUGACUACCGUUUUUGUGAUAAUUAAUUUGGUCGAAAUUAUUUGUUAGAGUUGUAUUAACAUAAUAAUAUUAAUUUUUCUAUAUUUAUUGUUAUUUUCUUCCUUCGCUGCAUGAAGUAUAAAACUAUUCAAAUUUUUGAGAAAAUGCCUCGGAAGCGAAAAUCUGGUAUAUCCAAAAUGGCAUGGUAGUUUUAUUGACUGGUGAUUUCCGUCAAACCCUCCCAGUGAUUCAGAGGGGGACACCAGCAGAAGAAAUUCAAGCGUGCAUUAAAUCAUCACGCUUAUGGUCAACAGUUGAAAAACUCCGCCUGAAAACUAAUAUGAGAGUGCAUCUUCAAAAUGACGUGGAUUUAGGACUUUACGCAGAAAUGUUGUUGAAAAUUGGAGAUGGUUGUUAAGCUGUUGACGUUGAAGGCUAUAUAUUACUGUCAAGAGAAUUUUGUAAUUUAGUAGAAAGUGAUGUGGAUUUCAUUGCUGAUGUUUUUCCGGAAUUGCAACAAAAUUUGUGUAGUGAUCAGUGGUUGUGUGCAAGAGCAAUAUUAGCACCAAGAAAUGAAAUUGUUAAUAGGAUCAACACUGAUAUUUUAAACGAGGUUCAAGGAAAACUGAAGGAAUAUUUGUCAAUGGAUACAAUUAUAGAUACGGAACUAAGUACUUCAUAUCCUGUGGAGUUUUUAAAUUCACUUGAACUGUAGGGUGUACCGUCACAUAAACUUCAAUUGAAACUAAAUAUACCAGUAAUGCUUAUGCGAAAUCUAGAUGCUCCUCUGCUAUGUAAUGGAACAAAGCUUCGGAUAACAAAAUUGGGACAGAACAUACUUGGUGCUACUAUUUUAACAGGUGUCGGGUUCAGUUUCCCGUCAAGCUUAGCUUUGCUGUUACUAUAAACAAGGCACAAGGACAAACAUUACUGGUAGCAGGAGUGCAUUUAGAAACUCCAUGCUUCUCUCAUGGUCCACUUUAUGUAGCCUGUUCACGUG